AUUGCGUUUGAUAGAUAGACUUUUAUUUUGAAGGCGAUGUCUAGCAGGAAGUCGGCCGUCGGCCAUUUUGUUUUAAUCACAACAAACCGUGUGCAGCUAGUGCUAGUCAAGUGUUCAUCCAUGGUCAUCCUUGUUUCUGUUUGUGCCUUCGACAUCAUCGUCUUUUUACUCCAUGUUUUGGGAGAACACUGCAAUAAAAAGGAGCUUUGGAAGCUAUACCCUGACUCAGUGUCUACCUUAGCAGGAGUUAGGCUUACUGCUGAAUUGGUGUUAGAAACACACACAAGGAGAGCAGGAAAG
This is a long non-coding RNA of Syngnathus acus (greater pipefish), 300 nucleotides long. RefSeq lists it as uncharacterized. The transcript has 2 exons. The record is from RefSeq and is a predicted model, not a curated record. NCBI's taxonomy places the organism in Eukaryota, Metazoa, Chordata, Actinopteri, Syngnathiformes, Syngnathidae.